Cebus imitator (Panamanian white-faced capuchin) is the source of this 102-nucleotide small nucleolar RNA. RefSeq annotates it as small nucleolar RNA U13. Lineage: Eukaryota; Metazoa; Chordata; Mammalia; Primates; Cebidae. The transcript has a single exon. The record is from RefSeq and is a predicted model, not a curated record.
AAACUUGCCAUCCAUGCACGGGAUGACUGGGUGUUCACACCCGUGUGUGAGGUGCGCCCACUUCACACUUUGUUAUGAUGUCAGCACAUUAUCUGCCUGACA